AUUGAACGCUGGCGGCAGGCCUAACACAUGCAAGCCGAGCGGUAGAGAGAAGCUUGCUUCACUUGAGAGCGGCGGACGGGUGAGUAAUGCCUAGGAAUCUGCCUGGUAGUGGGGGAUAACGUUCGGAAACGGACGCUAAUACCGCAUACCUCCUACGGGAGAAAGCAGGGGACCUUCGGGCCUUGCGCUAUCAGAUGAGCCUAGGUCGGAUUAGCUAGUUGGUGGGGUAAUGGCUCACCAAGGCGACGAUCCGUAACUGGUCUGAGAGGAUGAUCAGUCACACUGGUACUGAGACACGGUCCAGACUCCUACGGGAGGCAGCAGUGGGGAAUAUUGGACAAUGGGCGAAAGCCUGAUCCAGCCAUGCCGCGUGUGUGAAGAAGGUCUUCGGAUUGUAAAGCACUUUAAGUUGGGAGGAAGGGCAGUAAAUUAAUACUCUGCUGUUUUGACGUUACCGACAGAAUAAGCACCGGCUAACUCUGUGCCAGCCGCCGCCGUAA
RNAcentral lists this ribosomal RNA (500 nucleotides) under uncultured bacterium. Its description in RNAcentral is "partial 16S ribosomal RNA". It matches the Rfam family "Bacterial small subunit ribosomal RNA", at positions 30 to 523 of the family's 1533-position model. The record is from RNAcentral.